AACGUACGCUGGCGGCACGCCUAACACAUGCAAGUCGAACGAAGUAGCAAUACUUAGUGGCAGACGGGUGAGUAACAUGUGGGUAUCUGCCCUUUGGCCUGGAAUAACACGAGGAAACUUGUGCUAAUACCGGAUAAGUCUUUACAGAGAAAGCUUUAUGCACCAUUGGAUGAGCCUGCACUUGAUUAGUUUGUUGGUGGGGUAAUGGCCUACCAAGACUGUGAUCAAUAGCUGAUUUGAGAGGAUGAUCAGCCACAUUGGGACUGAGACACGGCCCAAACUCCUACGGGAGGCAGCAGUGGGGAAUCUUGCACAAUGGAGGAAACUCUGAUGCAGCGAUGCCGCGUGAGUGAAGAAGGCCCUUGGGUUGUAAAGCUCUUUCGUCGGGGAAGAAAAUGACUGUACCCGAAUAAGAAGGUCCGGCUAACUUCGUGCCAGCAGCCGCGGUAAUACGAAGGGACCUAGCGUAGUUCGGAAUUACUGGGCUUAAAGAGUUCGUAGGUGGUUGAAAAAGUUAGUGGUGAAAUCCCAGAGCUUAACUCUGGAACUGCCAUUAAAACUUUUCAGCUAGAGUAUGAUAGAGGAAAGCAGAAUUUCUAGUGUAGAGGUGAAAUUCGUAGAUAUUAGAAAGAAUACCAAUUGCGAAGGCAGCUUUCUGGAUCAUUACUGACACUGAGGAACGAAAGCAUGGGUAGCGAAGAGGAUUAGAUACCCUCGUAGUCCAUGCCGUAAACGAUGUGUGUUAGACGUUGGAAAUUUAUUUUCAGUGUCGCAGGGAAACCGAUAAACACACCGCCUGGGGAGUACGACCGCAAGGUUAAAACUCAAAUGAAUUGACGGGGACCCGCACAAGUAGUGGAGCAUGUGGUUUAAUUCGAAGAUACGCGCAGAACCUUACCAACACUUGACAUGUUCGUCGCGACUCUAAGAGAUUAGAGUUUUCGGUUCGGCCGGACGAAACACAGGUGCUGCAUGGCUGUCGUCAGCUCGUGUCGUGAGAUGUUGGGUUAAGUCCCGCAACGAGCGCAACCCUCACUUUUAGUUGCCAUCAUUAAGUUGGGCACUCUGAAAGAACUGCCAGUGAUAAGCUGGAGGAAGGUGGGGAUGACGUCAAGUCCUCAUGGCCCUUACGUGUUGGGCUACACACGUGCUACAAUGGUAUCUACAACAGGAAGCAAGACUGCGAAGUUAAGCAAAUCCCUAAAAGAUACCUCAGUUCGGAUUGCACUCUGCAACUCGAGUGCAUGAAGCUGGAAUUACUAGUAAUCGUGGAUCAGCGUGCCACGGUGAAUGCGUUCCCGGGUCU
This 1306-nucleotide ribosomal RNA is filed under the name uncultured bacterium. RNAcentral describes it as "bacterial SSU rRNA". It matches the Rfam family "Bacterial small subunit ribosomal RNA", at positions 28 to 1381 of the family's 1533-position model. The record is from RNAcentral.